Long non-coding RNA from Rhineura floridana, 257 nucleotides. RefSeq lists it as uncharacterized. The transcript has 3 exons. NCBI's taxonomy places the organism in Eukaryota, Metazoa, Chordata, Lepidosauria, Squamata, Rhineuridae. The record is from RefSeq and is a predicted model, not a curated record.
AACCAAGUACAUAGAAGAGCAAGCCUUGCUGGUUUCUGCAAGGAAGCCCAGGGCAGCAAUCUAACAGCUACACAAAGGCACAUUGCUGAAAGCAUUAAAGGUCUGCAGCAGUUCCCACCACAGGCAACACUUUGUCUUCAACAAAGAGACUCACAUUCUACGCCUGCAAAAAUCCCUAUACUGGCUAAUACUGUAAGAAUGCCAAAAGGAACAUCUGUGUGCUCAGAACUAUACAAACCCAGCUUUAAAUAAAAAAC